Molecule: transfer-messenger RNA, 245 nt
Filed under: Betaproteobacteria bacterium
Lineage: Bacteria; Pseudomonadati; Pseudomonadota; Betaproteobacteria
Description: partial transfer-messenger RNA
Rfam family: transfer-messenger RNA
About the family: Bacterial tmRNA, also known as 10Sa RNA or SsrA, is named for its dual tRNA and mRNA-like properties. Its role is to liberate the mRNA from a stalled ribosome.
Source: RNAcentral
GGGGCCGACUUGGUUUCGACGUGGGUUUUGAAGCAGCCGGGAGCAUGCCGAGCACCAGUACGCUCGCAAAACCACUGGACCUAAAGUAAACGCAAACGACUCGUCGUUCGCUCUCGCCGCUUAACACCGGUGAGCGUUGCAACAGCUCGCUGCCGGGCUGGGAGGGAAACCUCCGCAACGUCAUUCACGGCAGCUCGCCCUGAGCCGCGCCACGUGGCGCAGGGUUAAACCCAGUGGAUCGGCCC